RNAcentral lists this ribosomal RNA (447 nucleotides) under uncultured bacterium. Its description in RNAcentral is "bacterial SSU rRNA". It matches the Rfam family "Bacterial small subunit ribosomal RNA", at positions 29 to 524 of the family's 1533-position model. The record is from RNAcentral.
AACGAACGCUGGCGGCAGGCUUAACACAUGCAAGUCGAACACCCCGCAAGGGGAGUGGCAGACGGGUGAGUAACGCGUGGGAACGUGCCUUUUGGUUCGGAACAACUUCGGGAAACUGGAGCUAAUACCGAAUGUGCCCUUCGGGGAAGAUUUAUCGCCAAAAGAUCGGCCCGCGUCAGAUUAGCUAGUUGGUGGGGUAAUGGCCUACCAAGGCGACGAUCUGUAGCUGGUCUGAGAGGAUGAUCAGCCACACUGGGACUGAGACACGGCCCAGACUCCUACGGGAGGCAGCAGUGGGGAAGUCUUGGACAAUGGGCGCAAGCCUGAUCCAGCCAUGCCGCGUGAAUGAUGAAGGCCUUAGGGUUGUAAAAUUCUUUCGUCGGGGACGAUAAUGACGGUACCCGAAGAAGAAGCUCCGGCUAACUUCGUGCCAGCAGCCGCGGUAAU